Physella acuta is the source of this 1239-nucleotide long non-coding RNA. RefSeq lists it as uncharacterized. NCBI's taxonomy places the organism in Eukaryota, Metazoa, Mollusca, Gastropoda, Physidae. The record is from RefSeq and is a predicted model, not a curated record.
UAAAUCGAUUUGGUGGGAAAUAUUAAUAUAUUUUUUGUAGAAAAUAAAAUAGAUCUUGGCACUGAUUGGUAAAUUACACAAUAAUUAGAAUCUACAUCUAGAUUCUAGAUCUAGAUCUAGAAGGGGUUCUCUCAACAUGGAGACAGGAAUAAGACAGACACAGGGACAAAGAUACCAACAAUUUUUUAAACUUGAACACUGCAAUCAACUGAUUUACAACCCUCUGUAUUCAAGUGGCUAGAGUACUACCAUGUGUUUUGUGCUUAUGGGUUUAUGAUUAGGCCUACAGUAAAAAAUAAAACCAAGUGCUGUGAUAGGUUGAAACAAACGAGGUCCAUGGGGCUAAUGUAGAGAUCAUGAGUAUCUCUGUAGACAGCUCUUGACAUCCAUAUUGUGUGGAGGAUGUUGGAUACUUUGCUGAUGUGUCUUUUGAUGUCCUCAUCUGCUGUCCCAUCUUCUUACAACAGAUCCUAGAUGUGUGAAGUGAUCCUGCUCCGAAAUAGUCAUUUCUUGUGUCCUAAGUGGAACUCCUGUUUGUUGUUGAUUCUUAUCACUUCUGUUUUUUCCAGUUGAUCAUUAAGCCUAUAUUAAGAAGGUUCAUCAUAGUUUACUUAGCGUGAAUUGGGCAUGUUGUCAAUGUGAGAGUAUAGCAUCCUCAAUAUCUAGACCUCCAGCUAAGUGAGGGUCCACUGAAUUCCACCCUUUUGGUCUGAUGUACUUUAUUGUUGAAAAGCGUAUAACAUUUCUGUACUCACUGAAAAAGGGCUGGUUAACUUGUGGAUAAUCUGGCAGUUGGAGUCUUUGUAGAGGUGUUGGAUAAUAUUGCUGAAUUUCAGAGGAGUUUCUUAGCGAUUGAAUGUGCAAAUUCAAUUUUUUCAAUAGGUUGGCUUUCAUGUAGAGAUAUUCUGCUACGCAGUAUUUGUUUAUAGAUAUGUGUAUCUAUCUAUAUAUAUAUGCAUAUAUUUAUGUUUGUGUGUGAAACUAAGGUCUAGUUACACACAGUCAUAUAAUAUUAAAAACUUGUUAGAUUAAGAUGUGUAUUAGAGAUUGUCUGUAGCCAUCAAAUUUUUAUUUAUUCUGGAGGUUGUAUGUAUUGAUUCCAUUUUGUCUAGUUAUUGAGCACACUGAAAUCUGCUAAUAUUGAUUUAUCUACCUACUUACUUGUCCACUUGUAACCUAUAUGAUCUAUUACUUAAUUGUAGCAUCAAAAGUAUUCUUUUAAUGUGAAUAACAUUUUUA